Long non-coding RNA from Chinchilla lanigera (long-tailed chinchilla), 821 nucleotides. RefSeq lists it as uncharacterized. The transcript is spliced from 2 exons. NCBI's taxonomy places the organism in Eukaryota, Metazoa, Chordata, Mammalia, Rodentia, Chinchillidae. The record is from RefSeq and is a predicted model, not a curated record.
GACUGUUUGCUUCCAAGCUUCUGAGAGCUGCUGGCGGGCUCUUGUCUGACGCUCGUGUUUCUUCUGGCCCUCCCCAUGGGCUCCUGGCUUCCCCUGGGACAGGAUGGCCAGCUGCCCCGGGGGAGGCGGGGGGCAGAUGGCUUCUGAGACAAAAGCCACCGUCGUUUCAGAAUCUAAUCUCAGAGGGAGGAGGCGCCGCCACUGCCUCCCUGUGCGCUGUUCCUGUGGACCUGUGACUCUGUGCCCCGUGGGAGGGAGCCACGGGGGAUUGGAGUUCCGGGAGGCCCCAUUGUUCUUACAGAUGAGGAAACGGAAAUGAAACAAGGACAGAGACCCCCACGCAGGAAAACACUGUUCGGCCUUGCAUGGAGGAAGGAGAAGCAGGCGAAGAAUAACAAUCCAUUUUCCCCAGCGAAGCUCUCUCUGCAGACGUUCUGAAGAACUGUGUUUCCUAGAGCGGCCAGCGUAGCUCCAUUGUUCACUACGCCAAAGAGCAGAAGCCACCAAGCAUCCAUUAGCAGAGGAAUGGGCUGAGGAGGAUGCGCUCUGUCCCCGUACUGCAGUAUUCUCCCGUCUUUAUAGAAAAGCAGAUUCUCACAGAGGCUGUAGUGUGGCUGAAACCUGAAGACGUUAUGCUGGGUGAAGUAAACCGGGCUCAAAAGGACAAGCACUGUCUAACCCACUUGCCUGAGAUCCCUGGAAUUAUAGUCAUGUUGGAGAGACAGAGAGCAGACGGCGGAUGGGUGGGCCAGGGGGUGAAGAUUGUGUAACAGUGUAAACACGCUUCAUAGCGGCUAAAGUGAUUAAAAUAGUAGAAAUGU